GACGAACGCUGGCGGCGUGCUUUAUACAUGCAAGUCGAACGGUAUUUCCGGUGUGCUUGCUCUCCGGUGGGUAAGCGGCGGGCGAGUGAGCAAAACGUACGCAAACUGCGCAUAAAACCGGGCUAACAUUCGGCAAAGACUGCAUAUAACGGAUAGACGGACCCCUGGCAUCGGGGGGCAGGGUUAGGCGGCGCAACCUUGCGCCGACGGAUGUGGCUGUGGCGCAUUAGCUGGUUGGUGGGGUAACGGCCUACCAAGGCGACGCUGCGUAGCCGGCCUGAGAGGGUGAUCGGCCACACUGGGACUGAGACACGGCCCAGACUCCUACGGGAGGCAGCAGUAGGGAAUCUUCCGCAAUGGACGCAAGUCUGACGGAGCAACGCCGCGUGAGUGAGGAAGGCCUUCGGGUCGUAAAGCUCUGUUGCCAGGGAAGAACGGGUAGGGGAGUAACUGCCCUUGCCAUGACGGUACCUGAGAAGAAAGCCCCGGCUAACUACGUG
This 500-nucleotide ribosomal RNA is filed under the name uncultured bacterium. Its description in RNAcentral is "partial 16S ribosomal RNA". It matches the Rfam family "Bacterial small subunit ribosomal RNA", at positions 28 to 507 of the family's 1533-position model. The record is from RNAcentral.